AAUUUUUUACAGCUACAGAAUGGUCCUUUCUUUAUAGGAUAUAUGAUUGUUUCUUGAAAAAGGAUGUUAUGCCUGCAAGUUGUGCAGGCUUUUGUUUCUAUGAGUCUGUAGCACAAAUUACCGCACUUCUGUGGUGCUGUAUGCCAUACAAUGAAUCUUCUUGAACAAGAAAUGAGAAGAAACUCCACUUUUUACUGAGAGAGGACUUGGAAUGCUCUGGCCUGUCCACAUCCCUUUACUUGCAAAUGAUUGAUAUCACUGUGGUUUCAUGCAGUGAAAUAAUCACUUAUGGAGGAAAAUGGGCUCUGUCUAAAGAAACACGGUCUGAAACUAUCGGGGUGUAAAUAGUACUGUUUUUGUCAUCAAGUGUGACUGGGAAAAGGUCAUGUUAUGCCAAGAUUUACUGUAAAUUGUUAGGGAAUAGGAUGGGUUUGGAUUUACAGUUGACAAGCUUGACAAGACUUGGAAAACUAAGGGGGGGAAGCCACCCUUAGGGUACAUAGGUGAGGAGUGGCACAGAAUGGUGAUAAAGAUUUUCUCCUGAUCAGAAAAGUUUCUGUAAAAGCAAGUUUUUGUUCUCUUGAGCAAAGAAGCGUAUUAUGUUCUCAUUUUAAUCAACAGUUAAGAUACCGUUAUGAGGUAGACUUAAACUGGACAACAAUGUAGUUACUGAAACAUUUCCCUGUGGAAGGAGGGAAUGUCUUGUAGUGGUGAGUGUUAAACUUCUUCAAACUCUGUACUAGCCUCAUUUUGUUCUGUGCUUCUAAUUGUAUAUCCGCCGAAUGGUGACACCUAACUUUGCAGAUCUGUUGUCAUCCUGAGCAGCAAGAUGUUACCGAUAGAAUUAAAACCCUGUUCAUUAAUGUAGAAACUUCUCACCUGCAUGCUGAAAAUACAACCCAUUGCAGGAUGUGGAAGCACCGUUACAGGACACUACUGCAUGUUGCUAUCACUGGCUCAUUUUUCUAAACAUGCAGAUAUAAUGUGCAGAUGCUUACCUCCACAUGAGACUUGUGGAAUAAACAAACAGCAGUGUUACCUGUCAAAACAUAAAAAUAGUGGGCGCCUGAGGUUUGUGUAAGUGCCAUACAGCCAGCCCGUGUUUUCCUCAGGUAUGAGUUCAGUGGAAAUGUGAUACAAAACGCAGCACAAAGCUCUUCGCACUGCUGGCCCCAGGCAAGCUGUUACAGCACAGGACACGUUCAUGUUGGAGAUAGUCACGCUGAGCUCCCUGUAUUGUCAGUGGAGUGAAGCAGGCACUUUGAGAGGAGUCACCUGACCUAUUUUAAACAGUUACUCAAGUGAGAUGAAUCACGUUCCUUUCUAUAAAAACUCUUGAUAUGCUCUUCACUGACUAGCUGAGAUGCAGGUUAUUGUAAAACUCCAGUUUUUAUUAUAGUAGAGUACCUUUGCAUUUGAAACCCUAGGGUACAGAAUGCUAAACUGUGGCUCUUGAGGUUUUUUUUCUUCACCUUCAAGCCUGGCUCACCUUCAUGGUCAACAUGAUUCAGAUAGAAAGGGACUUCUGUAGCCAGUCUAAUGCAAGUGCUUCUGGGUUAUCUCAGUUCCCUACUCUAAAAGGAAAUUCAUUGAUGUCUCCACCUGUACUGUGAGCUGUAUGCAGCUGACAGUGUGUCCCACAGUCCUGGUUCCCUCAUUGUCCUCAUUAGACAACACAUAUAGCUCCUUAUACACCUGUGUUCCCACUCUGAAAAGGAGAGAAAGAAAGAAAGAGGGAUAAUGAAAGAAGCAAAGAAAGAAAGAAGCAAGGAAGGAAGGAAAGAAGGAAAGAGAGGCUUUCAUGGCGUGAUGGUGCAUACUCAGUCUCAUCUUCACUGGCCUUACAACGUAAACACAAUUUCUGGAAGUAGCUGAACGGUGAACCUCAACUUGCCAUGGGGCUGGAAAGCCAUAGCCAUAGCUAAACUACAGACCGUUCCCAGAGAGAAACCUUCCCUUGCUCUUUUAGGUUGGGUAUUGCAUGUCUGGUGACUAUUGGCUGUAUGAAGACUUUUGUAUGCAGCUCAGAGGGUCAGAGAAUCUGGCCACUCCUCCUCUUCCAAUGCAUCGAAAUCAAUGGAAGUUUUGCUUGGAAGCUAAAAGUAGAGUUUGAGCCAAUCUAAGAUUGUGCAUGCAAAGGUCUUCUAAAGUUUUUUAGUCAUUCUGCUCACUGAAAAUGCAAAUUUGUUUAGUAAAUACAAUCAUCGUGUGCAUACUGCUAUUUUCUAAAUAUUCAAGUAAUGAGGGUUUCUCAUGAUUCUUUUAAACGACUGUAUCACAGUUUCUUUUAAGUCACCCUUUUUAGGAAUUGUUUUAUAAGGAUUCAGCUUGAAUAAAAACAUCUUCUGCUGAGGAAUAUCAACCCUGAGGCCAAGGGGGCAUGAGGAACCCAGUCUAGACUGUCUGUGAGGCGUCUUAAUGUUAUUUCCUAAGUAACAAAUCUUUGCUCUUGAUCUGAUGUGUUCAGGUUUUACUGUGAAACAUCGCUUUUCUUAGAGAAGUCAGGCUCUUUUUCUCAGUAAAUUUUUCCCCAGGGUUAGCUGUUCUCAGGAAAAUUUUGGUCAGUGAAGGCUUUGAAGGAAAAGACUUUCUGCUGGAAAAGACUGUCUAUUUAAAAAACUCAGACAAUUUUUUUUCAGCACAGUAAGGGUCACUAAAAUAUUUUGGUUUAAUAAUGACAUGAAUUUUCUACAUUUUAUAUUCAUCCAUAGCACUUAGACAAAAUUGUAUGUAUUUCCAUGCUUUCAGUUUUCAUGAAAUCACUUAUUUGGCCUUUAAAACUUUCCAGCUUCCAUGGAUGGAGAGAUCAUUACAAAUUCUUUUCCAUUGAUUUGGAAAACAUUUUAUUAAUCCUAAAAAAAAAAAAAGUCUUCCAUCUUUUGUUUUUUUGCAACUGUGAAAUAUCUCUCUCUCUACUUUGUUUUAUUCUCCUCACCUUUGUAAAAUUUCCCCUAUUAGCAUGGACAAUUUACCACACAAACCACCUAUCCAGCUGCACGGUGAUCUACUAUUCUGUUUCAUUCAUUCAUAGAGAUCUCUCGCUUCCCCCAGUGCAACCCCAGAUUCCACACAAUUCCUGUUUCAGAUCUUCUCCAGUUUGCAGAAUCUAGUCCGCUUUUGCUCAAUAACAACAUGCGAUUUUUUUUUCAGCAGCAGUCUGAGCGUUUUGCACUCACAAUGACAGCGUAUAUAAAUGCAGAUCAGUGUCUCCCUUUCAUUAGGUUGUAUUCCCUUUCCCUCUCAGAAGGUGAUUUCACCAUACCAAACCCAGUGAUAAAGCCCUCCCUAGCGAAGGGGCGUAGGCAGACUUGAAGACUCCAACUUCCUUUUCAGUAAGUGUGGAGUUUUUGCCCAUUUCUUAUUAGAGAAUAUCCUAUGCUAGAGCCCAAUCAAAAGAAGCUUAUUAAAUUGAAUGGGAUUUUUUCCAUAGACUUUUCUAGGUUUUGGAUCAGUAUCCACAGAAAACCAUCUAAUAAAUUAUAGAAUAAUUGAUAGUCGAUGACAAGAGUUUCAAAUGCAGGCUCGCCACAUCACUGCCAGUACUGCCUUGAAGAUAUAGGAGCUAUAUAAAUCUAGGAAUAAUGAAAUCAUCCAUUUUUUCCAGAGACAAAUGCAAUCCAGAAUUGAAGCUGUGAAACCACAUCUAAUGCUAGACAAAGGGAAUAUUAACAUAUGUAUGUUUCCAACUAUAGGGGUAUUUCUUGAACUGUGUGUUCUUAUUCUUGCCUUUCAGACAGCUUUUUUUCAAACCCAGCUUUCCCAAGUGAAGCACUGCACUACACAGGUGAGAAAAAGCUGAUGUAAAUAUGUUAGUGGUCGUUCAUGCAGCCAGACACCAAGGCUUUGCUGAUUUCAUGUGUCUCUCUGACAUCCAGUGAUCUCAGAGGCAGAAUAUAGAUGUUCUGUUGCUAAUACUACUUUGUUCCUCAACCUUUGUCAUUUUGAGUCAUCAUUUUUGUGAUACCUGCUUUUCUGGAGUUCAUUACUUUUUACUGGGUUGCUACUUUUAUCUUCUGAAAAUGUCCGUUAAUGAGAAAAUAUUUACUCUGAAAGUUCAAAUAUUUGUGGUUGCAUAUAGCAACAUACUUGUACAAUCAGACAAAAGAAGUCUGACAGCAUCGCAGAGUUGUGUAUGCUGUUUAUAGUGAUAAAUCUUGUAUGUGGGAUCAGGGUUCCCACUUUUAUACACAGGAAUUCAGGCAAAGGUUAUAAUAUGGAUGUCUGAAAAUUUGAAAAAUUUAAAAAUGAAAGAUUAAGGAUACACUUUUGCAUUAGAUUUGAUGGAGCAGAUCUGUUUUUUAUGCCUAGUUACUUUGAUCUUGAAAGGGUUGCUCAUAUUCCCAAAAUAUGCUCACAGAAUCAGGAGUUCUCCCCAGAAAAAAAAGUAAAAAUAUCCUUGGGAGAGUGAAAAGGCAAUUACUGCACAUCAGUUUUAACUUGUAAGGGUGCACAGACACACAUGGCAAGUGUCAUAUUAUAGACAUAAAGUGGAAUUUGUGGAUUUUAUUAUCAUUUAUGCCCUCAUUUCUUGAGAACCUCUGCUCUGCAGCAAGUCAGAGAAGGUGGGUUCUAUUACAUGGUGCUGCCAUUACACACAGAUGUGUAUGUCAUCAUUCAGUAGGUGAAAAAAACAAUAAAAAGUACACAGGAUCAAUACGAAUGUUGUAGAACCUUUUAAUUUUCAUUAGGAUUUUCUGUAGAUAUUUUUGUUUCUUGAGAACAGAAAGUUUACUGAAAAUGAAAUAAAGAUGUUCUUCCACAAGCAAAAGACAGGGCUAGAUUUAUAACUUCUCCCUCUUUUUUUUUUUUUCCCCCUCCCUAAAUAGUUGUUUACCCAUUUUGAUGAAAUGAUCGAAAAUUCUAUGUAGAGCAAAAAAGAUGGUCAAAUAUUCCUCUGCUAAGUACAACGACCUCGCAGAGUUAUGGUCCUUAGGUCUCACACAAAGAAAAGGGCAAUAGGCUUUGAAGCAACCACGACGAAUGGGGGGAAAAAGGGCAUAACUGAAGACCACAUACAGACACUGGAUGGUACACCAAUAGAAGGAAUGUAAAACUUGCCAUUUUAUCAUCGUAAGGGGGUAAGCCAAGUACUAUGAUAUAGACAAAUUUGUGAUACUUUUGGGGCACCUGACCUCCUCCAGUUUCCGUGAACUGUUACUUUAACAGAGACUUAAAGCAGCAAACAUUCAUCUUCAGAAGUCCCUGUAAUAAGAUAUGCAUCGAACAAUGUCAGCUUGAAUUAAACUCAUGUGACUGAAAACACUGGGUAUCUAAAUUACAUCCUAUUCACUUGCUUAACUUGUUUGUAUGACCUGUAAAAUUUAUUUUUAUGUAAAAUACAGUAUAAAUGCCCUGAAGCCCUUCAAAAGGAGAUUAAGUCCAUGCCUAACUGUAAUUGCUUUUGUGGAUUUUAGUCAGACCCUAUAAUAUAUGUGAUUGUAAGUUAUUUUAUGUACUAUAUGAUUAUUAUAGAUUGCUAAAAAAGACCCAUAUUUAAGAAAAUUAAAAAUAAAUGAAAAGGUUAUUUUCUUAGUUGGUGGCAGACAUUCAAAAUCUGCUUGUAAAUGAGUGUAUUUUUAAAACCAAAUACAAAGGAUCCCUUUAAGUAUAUGUUUUCUUACCUUGAGGCUUAGACUGAAGUUUUUGUGUAUGAUUUGUUGAUACAAAGGUUAGAUCUGGCUUCAAAAAUGGCAAAGUAUCUUUACGUAAAGUCCAAAUACGUCAGUGUUCAUACACUACCCCUUUCUAAGACCUUGCAGAACCCAAAUGAAAAUGUUUAUUUAAACCUGUUCCCUCACUUCAGAAAGCCAAAAAAAGAAAUACAACAAAAUUCAAACUGCAACACCUUAGUUGGAUCUUUUUCCAUGACGGUCAGGCAAAAAAGCUGUUUCCAACAUUUUUAAAAGAAACCAGAACUCUUUAGCUUAUCUUGGUAACAUGGUAUGGUUCCAUGAAAAACUACAGCCUCUGUAAUUUUUGUUUUAUAUGUGUGCUCUCUGUUUGUAUAUGUAUAUGUAAAACUUCACAUAGACUUGCAUGAAAAGAUAUUUCAGGUAUAUUGUAUGGGAGGUGUGUAUGAAUGCUUGAAUUAUGACCAAUUGUCACCAUGCUGUAGUUAAGGUUGUUUUCUGUUUAUAAGAAAAAUUGUCAGCUGAUCCAAAAUUUUCAGAAUAUAAUAAUAGUUUUUAAAGCAACAGAAAAAACCUCAGCUAAGCAAUUAAAAAUUCUUCCUCAAAAUUUAUCAGUUUAAAUUUAUACUUUCUGAGUCUCCUAGUGCUGUAAGAAAUGGUUGAAUGAAAAAAUUUCCUAGGUUAUGACUUAUGUCUUCAGUACAAGCUGUGACUGUAGGAUCUGUGACAUUGCAACACCUCUUUUCACAAGGGGCUUUUUUUCGGGAAAAGAAUUAUAUUUAUGCAAUCCCCCUAAAAGAAAUGGAAAAUUAGAUAACAAAAAUGUGCAGUUAUGGAUCAGCUAAAGUUAUUCUACCUAA
Aptenodytes forsteri (emperor penguin) is the source of this 6490-nucleotide long non-coding RNA. RefSeq lists it as uncharacterized. NCBI's taxonomy places the organism in Eukaryota, Metazoa, Chordata, Aves, Sphenisciformes, Spheniscidae. The transcript is spliced from 3 exons. The record is from RefSeq and is a predicted model, not a curated record.